GGACGAACGCUGGCGGCGUGCCUAAUACAUGCAAGUCGAGCGGACUUGAUGGAGUGCUUGCACUCCUGAKRGUUAGCGGCGGACGGGUGAGUAACACGUAGGUAACCUGCCUGUAAGACUGGGAUAACCCACGGAAACGUGAGCUAAUACCGGAUAGGCGAGACYCYCGCAUGRGRGAUUCGAGAAAGGCGGCGYAAGCUGCCACUUACAGAUGGACCUGCGGCGCAUUAGCUAGUUGGUGAGGUAACGGCUCACCAAGGCGACGAUGCGUAGCCGACCUGAGAGGGUGAUCGGCCACACUGGGACUGAGACACGGCCCAGACUCCUACGGGAGGCAGCAGUAGGGAAUCUUCCGCAAUGGACGAAAGUCUGACGGAGCAACGCCGCGUGAGUGAUGAAGGCCUUCGGGUCGUAAAGCUCUGUUGCCAGGGAAGAACGUCUMGGAGAGUAACUGCUCCKAGGGUGACGGUACCUGAGAAGAAAGCCCCGGCUAACUAC
This 498-nucleotide ribosomal RNA is filed under the name Paenibacillaceae bacterium 'ARUP UnID 496'. RNAcentral describes it as "bacterial SSU rRNA". It matches the Rfam family "Bacterial small subunit ribosomal RNA", at positions 27 to 504 of the family's 1533-position model. Lineage: Bacteria; Bacillati; Bacillota; Bacilli; Caryophanales; Paenibacillaceae. The record is from RNAcentral.